Molecule: transfer RNA, 72 nt
Filed under: Camelus bactrianus (Bactrian camel)
Lineage: Eukaryota; Metazoa; Chordata; Mammalia; Artiodactyla; Camelidae
Also listed under: 3 other names
Rfam family: tRNA
About the family: Transfer RNA (tRNA) molecules are approximately 80 nucleotides in length. Their secondary structure includes four short double-helical elements and three loops (D, anti-codon, and T loops).
Source: Rfam by way of RNAcentral
GAGGGUAUAGCUCAGUAGUAGAGUGCCUGCUUAGCAUGCACGAGACCCUGGGUUCAGUCCCGGGUACCUCCA